Long non-coding RNA from Amphibalanus amphitrite, 7449 nucleotides. RefSeq lists it as uncharacterized. The record is from RefSeq and is a predicted model, not a curated record. The transcript is spliced from 6 exons. NCBI's taxonomy places the organism in Eukaryota, Metazoa, Arthropoda, Thecostraca, Balanomorpha, Balanidae.
CGCGCCUCCGGACCGGCCGACCCAUCGGCAACGACGGUGCACUGGGGUCGCGCGCGACGCGACGGCGACGAUCGUGGGUACCCAUCGCAUCGAUCCUGACGGACGGUGCAUCCGGCAGGUAGAGUCAGCGGCAGUGACACGUGACCUUACCGGGGGCGUCUCGAGGUCGAGGGAAAAGCUCAGUGCCCCAGAAAGUCCUCUGAGACUGUCAGACUCCGGUGUUGGACAGUGGUCACUCUGGAGACUGGAGGCUUUGAGCAUCAAGAAGCUAGUCGAAGAAACGGAAGGCUCUGUUUUACCGGAUUACAAGAGAUAAGUAGACUAAAGAGAACUUUCUGCUCCUUUUCUUGGUUUUUGAAGGUGGUGUAUUGAAUCGACUCUGCAGGUGAUGGUCGAACAACAUAGCAUGUAACUUUGGUGACUGUGAGAUACACUGGUCACCUAACAUCUCCCCGACGAAAAGAUUCUGCAUCGACCCGAGAUUCUGCACUACCAAAAGCAGCAAAGCUCGGGCUCUACCCGAGUUAAUAGAGCUGGUGAUCAGACCACGACCCACUGACCAGCUCAGGUCAGGCCAGGCUGAGUCAAACUGUGAAAUCGUGUGGGACAGCAAAGUGAGGACCAUGAGUCGUCUAGUCAAGUCACACAGUUUACGUAAGAUCCUCGUCAGCUACAGCGAACCGCACUAGAACGGCUGGAUACAGCCCACGCGUGAGCAGCAGGGACCAGUUCGAGGAAGCGGGGCUCGACCUUUGACAGUGACCUUUGACUUCGGAUUGCCGCAUCCAAUCCCAAUGGCCAACUGGACGUCGCCUCCAAUUCGGUUUCUGGCAGUGAUGCUGUUGAUGGGGGCAACACAUGCAGACGGAGGUUGCAAGGAUGAAGUGCUGCAUUGCUAUUCGUGCAAUAGCAUCGACGACAGUCGGUGCAUGAGCCCGUUCAACUACACUGACCGGCCACCGACAGCGCCAUGCAAGGGCUGGUGCGUCAAAAUCGUCGAAAAUAUCGACACAGAGUAUGAAAAGGUCGUCCGGACGUGUACGGAUAGGAUGCACAUCAAUCCGUUCAUAGUGGGCAACGUGUGUAUGGAAGAAAGCAGCGGACACGGAUCACUGUGCUUCUGCAAAAAGAACCGAUGUAACAAAUCCGCGACCGUCCGCCUUUCCACCUCCCUCCUGCUGGCCGCUGGCCUGGCCCGGCUGCUCGUAACGUAGUGGGCCGGCGCCGGCUGACGGGGCGUCCUGUGGACGGCGGCCCGCCAGAGGCCCCGCUCGCCUCUAGGCCCAGCGUUGGCGCCCGCAGGCCGGCACAGCCCCUGUAUAGCUGUGGUGUAGCCACGUAGCCAACUCAGCUACGUGUCAACUGAUGCUGUGAAGCAUUCAAUUGAGUGAGCUGUACAUAGACAUUAUUAAUAUCCCUGUCCAAGGUAGCAUUAUGCUAGCCUGGAUGGUUUUUGAUACACAAAGAUACUGUUGCGACUUCUUCGAGUCCUAUUCGCGCCGUCUUAGGGCGUUGAUGUUUUCUCAGUCCAAUUUACUAGUUAGGAUUUGCCCGCGAGGGCGUCAGCGCCCAUGGCACCUGUGCGCACCAUCCUGUGCCUGAAGGUGGGCCAGUUUUCACCAUCACACCUCACUCGGUGUCAGCUCUCUCUUCUGCCGGCUUUCUGUCUCUAUCCAGUGUGAGGCAAGCUUUUUAUGUGGGCUGCUCGGACGCCAGCUUCUCCCAGUCCUGGGUCCCGUUCUUCCCGUCCUAACGUUCUGCGGUGGCACUACGCACGCCGAUGCGAAGCAUCUGGCUAGCCAGUCCUUUCAUGUCAGUCACGCUGGAAAAGUGACGCUCUGAAGUGCCGUGAACGCGAGGCGUUCGGGCCACCGCCUUCCACCACUGAGGCCGGGCCAUGAUGCCCCCAGGCAUCGCCCGCGGGCCCGUCCCAGGCUGCCUCAGCUCGGCCUGGCGACAGACACAAUCAAUGGGGCACUGCGUGAUCGCGUGCUGAAAAAUGGCAACAGCGUGGAGAUGACUUUCAGAACUAUUUUCUUGAACCCACAGUUAAAGUGAUAGAAUAGCUAGUCGUACUGGAAUGGAAUGAUGCACAGCACCAUUCCUAAUGUUUUUUUUUCUUCAGAAUAUGUUGUCAAAUAGUUCUGAGGGGACGUUCAAGGAAAGUCAUGUUUACAGUUAGUGCCAUACAGCACGUCUAACGCUUAGAGCGACUGAACUAAACGCAAACUCGUAUUUCUGGCACUAAACCGGAUCUUGCCCGAGAUCGGCAUUGUGCACAGCUUCAGCACGGCAUUUCAAUGUGCAAAUGGAAGAGUCGGAACGCGCGCGCUUUCCGUGGCCUUUCGGACUCCCUCCUUGGCGCACUGUGUGGUCCAUGUUAGGCUGCUGCUCAGGUCUUUCUCUGCGCGCGGAGCCUGUUGGGUGCUGUGGGGUGCGGUCUGCGCUCGGUUCGGCCGGCCCCGCCGGGUGCAGUGGCCGCCGCCAGCCGAGCUGGUGCCGCCUGGAAGGGGCGCGCGCGGCGGCCCGGCCGGGCCCGGUCGCGCCGGUCCUCCUUCAAAGGCUGAGGGUCGGCGCGCGCGGACCCAACAGCGGCUCUGGCUCGCUGCUUUUCGUGCAUCCGAUGCCCACUAGUGUACUGGCGUUGAAGUGAAUCACACAGGGCUUACCGAGGGGCGUUCGCCGGUGGCUGAGCUCGUGCUGAGCCGCCGGCGGACCUCCCGCCGCCUGGUGACCUGAAACUGUGUAGCGCUCGUCUGUCACUCUCUCUAUCUAUCUGCUCUAUACUACUCCGUCUCUGUUGUAACUCGCUUUCUGUCUGUGUACUUGGUUCUGUUUCUCCGGAGGGCUUGUGUCUAGAGCGAACCGUCCUACCCUGCAUGAGCCCUGUAAUCACCCGCCACACGCUCUACUGAGUGAGCUGCAGCUUUUCGCUUAUCUGUCUCUCUUCUCUAGCUCGUCUCUUUCUCUAGCUCUCUUUCUGCGUAGCAAUUCUUCCUACGUCUGGCAUUGUAAGAGCAUGCGUAUUACACCCUAGGUUGGUGAUGUAACCGAUUGAGAGAACAUGUUUGUACGUAUUCUUAUCGUUUCGUAUGUCGUUCGUUACGUCCUGUUUCCCUAAGGCUACUUGUUCCCCGUUAUGAAACGUCUUGAACCUGUUAGCGCCUUUCAUUCCAUAUGAAUGCUUGUUGUUAGGAAAGUGAAUAUGACUGAAGCUGAUUCUAAAUUGACACGGAUUAAUUUUAGUAAUGACAUAAACAUCGGCUGUCGACCGUUCGGAACAUUAAAUUAUACGCUCGGCAAUAUGACCAGAGAAUUAGCAACAUGAGGAAAGCUACUGAAAAAGAAUAGUUUUACACGAAAAUGAUAGGUUAACGAAUAUGAAAGGUUUAUUUUGUAAGAACGGUAUUCGAAAACAACUAAUCCGGAUCAUUGGCAACGUUGGAAAAAUGUUCAGAAAUUUCCGGAAACGUAACACUUUUUAAAACAGACACCAAUCAUAAAUCUUCAUUAAUAUUUGUUCCACUCAAAAUUGUUAGGCCGAUGUGGAUUAGCGAAACACAGGCGUGCGCGACGCUCAUGCCCUGAAUUAUCUAUCGUCUAUAAUGGACAAUCGCACUAGUCUUUAUCCUCCUCACUGUAGACGUAACAUUUUACAAUCCAAUCUCAUAUGCCUUCCUAUAUGAUAGACACUUGCCACUGUGUCAUGACGAUCAUUGUGGCUAUCUUUUAUUAUCGAGUAAUGUCCUUCCACCAGGGCUAUAGCGGGUUAGCUUCCUCAUGCAUUGUAUUUACCUGUUAAUGUAUUUUAUCGCGUCUGCAGUAUCGGGCUAGGGCUUGUUGCCACUGGCUGAUCCUGCUCGCCUGACCGCCUUUUUCUGAAGCGGCCUCUGUCUCACUGUUCCUCACCAACCGAAAUAAGUUGAGCUCAUUUUGUUUUGCGACGGCCCAUCGUGGUGCCUAUAUCGCGGCGUUCUGUUCAUCUGAUUUUACAGGGGCGUAGUUUCACAACGAUAUUGGGGAGAUUUCGUUUUGGGAAAGGAAACUUAUCGUUUCAGCUUUAUUGAAUAUAGUUAUUACUGAUAUUAGACACACAUAUUCCCAUUUCUCACCAUUUCUCAUAGAGCGGAGGCACCCCAAAAUCGGGUGUUGAAGCCACACCCCUGUCGCCGGUUUGGGGAGGUGCCGUCACUGUUCUGCGCUGCGCUGCCUGGCUGUCCAGCUGCGCUGCCGCCUUGGUUGCCAGCUUGUGCACCGGCACGCUCAGCAGCCGAGCCGCACUCGCAUACCUACAUUUAGGUGUCGAGUCGGGGCACUCCCGGGCCCGGCCAGUAUCUUGUUCAGCUCGCGUGAUAUACUGUAAUUUUGUAAGCCUUGAUGUGAUAAUGCGUAUAUCAUCGUUGGCUUGUGACAAAAGGUGAAUGUUAGGGAGUGGCUCAAGGUGCAAUAUAAGUCGACUGCCUAUGACCUGAAUGCCUGUUGUGUUUACGUUGUGAAUAUGCGCCACCCGGCACCUCUUUACCGGCAGGAGGCUCGACAAACAUCGAUAGUUUCGUCCCAGGAGGGUGGGAGCCACAGGCUUUGAGCAUUAAUCAGGGGGUAUUACCUUACACAAACAGCUUUAUUACCUUUCAAACAGCUAGAAUCUCAAAAUUUCUAUUUGUUGUUGGGUAUAUGGAGAUGAUAAAAUAUUUCCAAACUGCUAACCGUUUUGGCCAGUAUAGCGUUUAUGGAUAGCAAUGAAUUAACUGACAGAUAACGUACUGAUGAACACAUUUUCUUUUAAUGCACAAUGCACAUCUAGGCUAACUAUCCUCAAAAAUAAUCUGGAAGUAAUCUAAAAUGGUUUCAACCAUCAAUAAGAGAUAGGAACGUCGAAGACAAUUCACAUUCUUUCAUCAUAGCACAGCGUAAUAAAAUGCCUUCUUACGGCACCUUAUUCACAUCGCUAUUGCUAAGCUGGAGAUCCACUAAAGCAUGUCCAUUGUGAAGCUUCAUAAUUGCACAGCGGACCGCAACAUGCACUUUUGAUCAGACAAAGAGAAGCUUAUCCUCAUCCCUGCUAAUGGCUUAAUGACGCGCUAAUUAGAGCACGUUUUUGUUUGCGAUCUAAUACACUCGCGACGAAGCGUCUUUUCGUCCUCACUUUGGCUGAGAUCAAAAGCUCUUGGCAAAUAUUCAUUUGGCUGAAGCUGUUGCCCAUCCCUCUAAGAGCUACCGACGCAUCCCCGUGGGAGGUCGUGGGAGGGGGGGGGGGCGUCUUAUGGAUACCGUCCUGGGCUUCUGACACCGCCUGUAGAGACAUGGGAAUCAUGGGUAGCGGGGUGGGAGAAGUGACUCUGCCCAACAGGAACAACAAUGUCCCACAUUCUACGAGAAACCGGUGCAGUCCCGGGGCCAGAGGAACGGCGCCUCGAGACUUCAAGGAGAUCGGGUCCCCGAGGGACCGGUCCGGUCUCUGGUCCGGACCUCUCGGGCUCGGCUCGAGUCUCGGUCCCCGGACCACGGACGGAGCAGACUCCGAUCGAAGGCUCCACGAGACCAGCUAUCAUUGGAACAGCUCCAGCCUCCUGAACCAUCGGAAGUCCACUGAGGACUCAGAAAAGUCUGCAUUCACUCUCCAAGUUCGGGCGAUGGCAGUCGCCCAUCAGUUCGGAGCCGCAACGACAGAGAGAGUGCUUGAAGGGAGAGAGCAGCGAGUCAGCGCUCUCUCCUCUCCACCGGAGCUGCAUCUGACGUGACCGACCGACCGCCACGCCCACUCACAAGACCACGCCCACUCCAAUUGGCCGGCGCUGGUGGCGGUCUCCCGUUCGCUCCUGCUCUCGUCUCUACGCCGCCCGUCGGGCUCUCUCCUACGGCAGUCGCUCAACGCCUGAUGGAGUGGUAUUUCUUCGGUCGAGCAGUCGGCAGAGCUGACCAGGCUUGGCAGUAUCCCGUCGGUGGCUGGUGAGAGGGAAUCUCACCGACAACGCCCUGUGCUGAGGAAGUCGGUCGUCUUCAGAAACCGUCCACAUCAGAGGAGGCAGCUGCUUCAGCGAUGACAUCAAUGAAUCACAGAGCGAGCAGACGUGGCACUGAUGUCAGGUGCUGAGCUCUGUCAUCAUUCUUAUCGCUUAAAGACAUUCAAUCUCAUUUCAAGCGGCUCGACCAGCGGAGCGUUUUGCAACUGGUGGACUGAAAUCGUGGUAUAAGUGUAUUGGUAUUACGUUGUAAAAUACACGUUUCGGUGCUCACAAAGAACGAUGCAAUGCAGUGCAAGCCCGUUGUUAGAAAGAUGGAAUCAGCUACAAGAUAUGGUAAAAGAUGAUAUUAACCCACGGUACUGGCUUCAAAGUUUGUGAAACUAAGAAACCGUUUAAUGCGGUAUAUGGAUCACAUAAUGUGCAUUAGCAAGUUAAUGUUUCAUUACCGUGUAUAAUUUUGGGUCAAAACUUUGUUACCACCGAUAGGUUACUGUUGUGUCUAGGCUGCAGAUUCGUAGGCUGACGUAUUUGCCCGGGACCGUGCGAAUGUCAUUUGGUGAUGUGGUGCCCAAAGCACUGCUAGCCGGUACACGAAUAAUUCACACCAGCCCGUACCAAGCUGCCAAUGUGAACAGUAAUUCUGCUCUUAUUGACUGCGUGGGAGCUGCCGCAUAAGUUGGAUUUGCUUAUUUUUCUUCGUGCUGGACUUGUUGACUCCUUUUCGCAGUGACUUUUCGGUAAAAUAAUGUAUGACGGCGCAUUGUAUCUGUAGUCUGUACACUGGUGUUGUGUGUGGCUAAGCUCUAUAAACGGUACCUGUAUUUGUAUUUUGAAUUGCAUUUCGUGAAGGACAUGACAGCUCUAAGUCCAUGCAACCGUGGCUCUAGCUAAGGAUCAAAGGAGGGGCCAGGGCCCAUCCACCGCAAUAGGCUUGAUGUUAAAACGGGGUCUUCAAGGGGUCCACAUGCUUCCCUGAUGGCCAGUGAAUGUGAGCUAGCUCGUAGCGUUGUUUCUUGUUUUAGCGUCGGUCUACAAGCAUCCAUACUACCGUACUUGACCAUGGAUAGUUAUUACCAAAAGUAAAGCUUCGAUAGCAGCUGUACUAGUAAAGUACUUACCUACCGAUACCUUGCGGUCUCCAACCGAGCUUCAAACUGAUAGUUAAUCUUACACUUGCUGGCAAUAUAUGCCCAACUUUCAAUGCUAAAGUAUCAGUGGGCGCCCCAUCGCUCGGGUCACCUGCCCUACCGCUAGUCAUGACCCGCCCAGUGACCCACAAGCGUGUCGAGUGUCGACUGUGAGUGAGGAUCGACUGUGAGUGGGUGUCAACUGUGACACCCAGUGAGGAUCGAAUGUGCCGCGAUUGAGCGCGUCUCGGCGUGACACCAACACGGUACUAGUCUAGACAAUUCGUCAGUAUAUUGACUGUUAUCGGCUGAAGUGUAACUUGUCCAGCUUGAUGCCAAAUACAAAAUUGACGAAA